AUUGAACGCUGGCGGCAUGCUUUACACAUGCAAGUCGAACGGUAACAGGCCGCAAUGUGCUGACGAGUGGCGAACGGGUGAGUAAUGCUUCGGAACGUGCCCAGUCGUUGGGGAUAUCUACUCGCAAGAGGAACUAAUACCGCAUACGAUCUAUGGUUGAAAGCGGGGGAGCGUAAGGCCUCGCGACGUUGUUGCGGCCACUGUCGGAUUAGGUAGUUGGUGGGGUAAAGGCUCACCAAGCCAACGAUCUGUAGCUGGUCUGAGAGGACGACCAGCCACACUGGGACUGAGACACGGCCCAGACUCCUACGGGAGGCAGCAGUGGGGAAUUUUGGACAAUGGGCGCAAGCCUGAUCCAGCAAUGCCGCGUGCGGGAAGAAGGCCUUCGGGUUGUAAACUGCUUUUAUACGGAACGAAACGGUUCUGGUUAAAACCCGGGGCUAAUGACGGUACCGAAAGAGAAAGCACCGGCUAACUACGUG
Molecule: ribosomal RNA, 482 nt
Filed under: uncultured bacterium
Lineage: Bacteria
Description: partial 16S ribosomal RNA
Rfam family: Bacterial small subunit ribosomal RNA
Source: RNAcentral